Long non-coding RNA from Balaenoptera ricei (Rice's whale), 304 nucleotides. RefSeq lists it as uncharacterized. The transcript is spliced from 3 exons. The record is from RefSeq and is a predicted model, not a curated record. Lineage: Eukaryota; Metazoa; Chordata; Mammalia; Artiodactyla; Balaenopteridae.
AAGACAACAGAACUGGAAAACUAAAUUGAACGAUCUUACCACCCUCAAAGGGCAUUUCUUAGGAGCAGAAGCCCAGACAUGUGCUACCCAUUGGCUCCCCUGGCUCUCCAGCUUGCUGACUGCAGAUCUUAGGACUUUUCAGACUCCAUAAUCAUACCAAGAGAAAUGCAACAUGGAGAUUGCUUGGGACAUAUUUGCGGACUCAAGAAUUACUGGUGACUGCUGCUGCUGUUGAAUAUUUGGUCUCAACUUUUAAAACAUUAAUUAGGACUCCAAUUAUAAUAUUGCCUGAUCCGUGUUAAAU